UACAGAGGUCCCAAGCGUUGUUCGGAUUCACUGGGCGUAAAGGGUGCGUAGGUGGUGAGGUAAGUCGGAUGUGAAAUCUCCGAGCUCAACUCGGAAACUGCAUUGGAAACUACCUUGCUCGAGGGUUGGAGGGGGGACUGGAAUGCUUGGUGUAGCAGUGAAAUGCGUAGAUAUCAAGCGGAACACCAGUGGCGAAGGCGGGUCUCUGGGCAAUAACUGACGCUGAGGAGCGAAAGCGUGGGGAGCGAACAGG
This 253-nucleotide ribosomal RNA is filed under the name uncultured bacterium. Its description in RNAcentral is "partial 16S ribosomal RNA". It matches the Rfam family "Bacterial small subunit ribosomal RNA", at positions 524 to 776 of the family's 1533-position model. The record is from RNAcentral.